RNAcentral lists this ribosomal RNA (253 nucleotides) under uncultured bacterium. Its description in RNAcentral is "partial 16S ribosomal RNA". It matches the Rfam family "Bacterial small subunit ribosomal RNA", at positions 524 to 776 of the family's 1533-position model. The record is from RNAcentral.
UACGUAUGGUGCAAGCGUUAUCCGGAUUUACUGGGCGUAAAGGGAGCGCAGGCGGCGCGCCAAGUCUGAUGUGAAACCCCGGGGCUCAACCCCGGGCAUGCAUUGGAAACUGGCGGGCUGGAGUGCCGGAGAGGUAAGCGGAAUUCCUAGUGUAGCGGUGAAAUGCGUAGAUAUUAGGAGGAACACCAGUGGCGAAGGCAGCUUACUGGGCGGCAACUGACGCUGAGGCUCGAAAGCGUGGGGAGCAAACAGG